Molecule: ribosomal RNA, 505 nt
Filed under: uncultured bacterium
Lineage: Bacteria
Description: partial 16S ribosomal RNA
Rfam family: Bacterial small subunit ribosomal RNA
Source: RNAcentral
GACGAACGCUGGCGGCGUGCCUAAUACAUGCAAGUAGAACGCACAGUUUAUACCGUAGCUUGCUACACCAUAGACUGUGAGUUGCGAACGGGUGAGUAACGCGUAGGUAACCUGCCUGGUAGCGGGGGAUAACUAUUGGAAACGAUAGCUAAUACCGCAUAAUAUUAAUUAUUGCAUGAUAAUUAAUUGAAAGGUGCAAUUGCACCACUACCAGAUGGACCUGCGUUGUAUUAGCUAGUAGGUGAGGUAACGGCUCACCUAGGCGACGAUACAUAGCCGACCUGAGAGGGUGAUCGGCCACACUGGGACUGAGACACGGCCCAGACUCCUACGGGAGGCAGCAGUAGGGAAUCUUCGGCAAUGGACGAAAGUCUGACCGAGCAACGCCGCGUGAGUGAAGAAGGUUGUCGGAUCGUAAAGCUCUGUUGUAAGAGAAGAACGGGUGUGAGAGUGGAAAGUUCACAAUGUGACGGUAGCUUACCAGAAAGGGACGGCUAACUACGUG